RNAcentral lists this ribosomal RNA (253 nucleotides) under uncultured bacterium. RNAcentral's name for it is "partial 16S ribosomal RNA". It matches the Rfam family "Bacterial small subunit ribosomal RNA", at positions 524 to 776 of the family's 1533-position model. The record is from RNAcentral.
GACAGAGGGUGCAAACGUUGUUCGGAAUUACUGGGCGUAAAGAGCGUGUAGGCGGCCUGGUAGGUCAGCUGUGAAAACUCGAGGCUCAACCUCGAGACGUCGGUUGAAACCACCUGGCUAGAGUCCGGAAGAGGAGAGUGGAAUUCCCGGUGUAGCGGUGAAAUGCGCAGAUAUCGGGAAGAACACCCGUGGCGAAGGCGGCUCUCUGGGACGGUACUGACGCUGAGACGCGAAAGCUAGGGGAGCAAACAGG